CACGCCCCAACCCACGACUCAGCUGUGGCAACUGUGAGGUGGCCUCCAGCGGAUACAACCCGAAUCCGGCCGAAUCAUCUAUAUCCAUUGCCAGGCUGCGAUUGAAAUCGUGCAGCUCCUCGGCCAAAUCUAAUAUGAACGGUCUUGCGGGGAUUAGUUUCGUCUGGGAACCGGCGGCGAUCCGUUCUGGCCUCCAACUGGACUGCGUUUGAGCCCUUAUGGCUGAAUGUUGACGCUUUUAAGCGGCUUUGCAGCGCUGAAUGGAAAACCUGGUCACUUCCAGUCUGCUUCCAGGCCAGCUCCCAGGCGAAAAACUAUGCAACUCCUCCAGAGAACUCGCCAAGGGGAAGGGCUACCCAUUAAAACAGUCAGUCAAGCCAUGUACUAUGCCAUUUUCUGCUAUAUACACCGAAAUAAGAGAUACUUUUCCUCUGCCACAGAUAGCCGGAGAACAAAGAAAGUACUCGUACUCGUAGCCGGCGAGAAACCAGACAAACCAAACUGCAACGUUGCUAAACCAAAUGGAAAAGAUAAGUAAAAGAGGCGAAACCGGCUUGAAAUCGAAGCAUAUAUGCACGAAUAUCCCCCCCAGAGAUGCCAUCUUCCUUGUGCCGGCGAUAUAUAUGCUCAUAUAUACAAAUAUCCAUAUAGACGGGGUAUAUGUAAAGUGGUCGUGUUGCAGCUGAAUUCCCACUGCCGGCAUUGAGCGAACAGCUGAGAGUCUGAGUCUCGUGCCGGUUGCCGAUGCGGAUUCGAGUCGCCGGCGAUAAACAACUACAACAACAGCUGGCUGGCUGGGCCGCCUGGAAGCUACAAAUCCGCUGUUGCCCGAGCUGGAGGAUUGGCAAGCCGGCGUCGCGUAAACAUGCGCAGUGACAGCGUCUGGGGCAACUCAUACAUAUGGUAUCGCCAUAUACAUUUGUAUGUACCCAGCCACACAGAUGAUGAUAAUAUGCUGGAUUCGUAUAUGGUUACAUAGCCAAGUGCAGGCGAUGGCAACCGGUUGAAAAGCUCCAAAAUGCAAAAACAACAACACCAACAACAUCCAGACGGGGGCCAGACAGUGGAGACUUUGCUAAAAAUUUAGUGGGACCCCGAACUCAGCUGCGGGAUAUGGACACAUAUUAUAUAUGUUUGUAUUCAUGUGGUGUAUAUGCCAACUGCAGUCGGAAGAGAGCAAAAACCUUCAGUGAUUGCUGCGUACGAGAUGCCCUCUUGUACAUAUGAUACAUUCCCCAUGUACUUGGUACUUGCUCCCAUUUACCUAACCAAGGGGAAGAAAUCCGCCGGACGAGCAUGCUCGCACAUUAUGUGGCCACCUUUUUGAAUAGACAACUUCCACUGCGUUGGCGUUGGAUUGUCCAAACCCUGGGCAAGAGUACUCUACUCCAGUGGAGGAGGAGUGGCGACAAGAAAAUGGGGCCAUAAAUAAAAACUCGAAUGAUAUAACAACCAGGGAUUGAGUUCUAUAGCAAUGCCCAUUUAAUAUAUGGUUAUUCAAUCGCUACAACAAAUUGUAAACAAAUUGUCAUUUGAUUUGGUUAUUACGAAUUAAAUUUAAACAAUAUGUACAUACUGAAUAUUUAACAAUUUGAACUAAACAAAUGUGCAGCUAAAUCUUACAUACAUACUUAUGUACAUACAUAGUUGUCUUAAGAGCAAAUUUGAUCAAAUAUAAUAAAUACUAGACUACU
Drosophila simulans is the source of this 1694-nucleotide long non-coding RNA. RefSeq lists it as uncharacterized. Lineage: Eukaryota; Metazoa; Arthropoda; Insecta; Diptera; Drosophilidae. The transcript has 2 exons. The record is from RefSeq and is a predicted model, not a curated record.